UUCAGCCAUUACUGUAAAAGAUUAUAAAAGCAUCUGUUUAAUAGCAAAGGAGAAAUUACAACAGGCAUCUUGGUUUGACAUUCUAUGAUGUCAAGAUUCAUGGGGUCUUUUCUUACAUUCAAGAAAUGAACUAAGUGUGGAUAUUCUGUUCAGAACUUAGUCCAAGGGUUCACCAAGAAUGUAACCAACUCCUGCAUUAUCAUGGAACUGACUGUGUUGAGAACUUCUCAUUCAACAGAUGACAAAGACUUACACAGGCCAAUUAAAUAUUCCAUGCUUGGUUCAUAAUAGGGGGACCUGAAAAACAGACAUCUUUCUUCCCAUUCCGGUCACCCUCAUGAGCUGGGGAAAGGAAUUUGAGAAGUUGAAAGGGCAGAAAAGGAUAUAGAGAGGAAAAAGCAACAGGACUCCUCCCCAACAAGGUUCCUAACCUGCUCGGUGUCUGUAAUGUUCCCCUGCUAUUUUCAAUCAGCAAGCCCCAUAUACUGUAGCACCUAGUGCUCUGAUGGAACAGGAACGAAGCUAACUUCACAUUUAUUGGACAUAGUAGGGCUGGAGUGAAUCAAUUGGCAGAUCAGAUUUUACCCCACAAGCUGAAUCUAUUUUUCAAUUUUAGCUUUCUAAUCUUUGUCCUAGGAAAACUGGCUAUUUCUUUACACUCCUCUUUUAAUGAUUUGGCCAAAUUCCCACUUCUAGUCACUUUCUUAUUUGCCCUUAGGUCUCUGAAUAAUCCUAGGUUUGGUCAUUUUUUGUGUGGGAUGGCGUGGGUUCUGUCAAUUGAGUUUUCCGUGUAAUUUUAUCUAUGUCUGUGCUGUCUCUUCUGAAGGGAGAGAAAAAUACCUUUCUUGAAAACUUCCCACAGCAAUUUACACAUGGGAUUUCAAUGAAGGCUGUUGAUUAUGAUGAGAAAUGUUUAUACAAUGUAGAAAUAUCUCAUUCCUCUAGAAAAGCAAGGCUUUAGGAUGAGCUAGCUUAUUUAGAGGAAGAUGACUGUGUAACAUUGGCUAUCACUGCAAUAUUAAGACCCAAUUGCAAGUCAUUUUCAAUAUUUUUUCAGAGCUGUCACCGUCAAUAAAAAUCUCUACUCAGAUAGGAUGUCACAGACUGGAUGAAAACAUUCUAAGCCAUUAAAAAAAGUUCCUGACACUUAUGCUUUGAUGUUAGUGGGAGGAAACAGAGUUUGUUUUUUAAGGAAGUCAAUUCCAGGAUAAUGGCAGCUGAAAUUAGUACACCUCUCUAUAGACAGGUUGUUGGGGUUGAAUUAUAAAAAAAAUUUCUUGGGAAAGUGGGUAGAUUGAUUAUGCAUGAACUUAAGUAUCUGUCCCUAAUGAAAAGUAGAAUUCACAUUAUCCAUAUUUACUUCUCUGUUGAUGUCUGGUAAUAAAGGAAAUGA
Ornithorhynchus anatinus (platypus) is the source of this 1393-nucleotide long non-coding RNA. RefSeq lists it as uncharacterized. The record is from RefSeq and is a predicted model, not a curated record. The transcript has 3 exons. Lineage: Eukaryota; Metazoa; Chordata; Mammalia; Monotremata; Ornithorhynchidae.